Macaca mulatta (Rhesus monkey) is the source of this 1189-nucleotide non-coding RNA. NCBI's taxonomy places the organism in Eukaryota, Metazoa, Chordata, Mammalia, Primates, Cercopithecidae. The record is from RefSeq and is a predicted model, not a curated record.
AAACUUGCUGGGGAGGUGGUGAUGUUGGGGAUGAGAGGGAAACCAGAGCAUGACAGCUUUGUAAAGCAUGGCUCAGGCAUCUGAUCUUUGGUCCAGGGGAGUGAGUUGAUGACAGGCGCAUUUCAGAAUGAUUCAUCAGAUGCGGAGAGCCAGAUGGACCGGAGAGGCAGAGGCAAGCUGGGAAGACCAGGGAAGGAAGAGCCCCAGGGAUCAUUUUAGGACCUGCAGGAAGACUCCACAGGGCUGAGCAGGAAUCCUGAGUGACGCCUGCCCCCCAUCAACCCUCCUCUACCGAAGAACCCCAUCAAGGUGGCUGGUUUCACCACUCCAUUCUUUCCUCUUCCCAAGGACCCCAAUUCCUGGCCCUUCUACCCUUAAACUCUUUCCUGGCUCUUCUGCACCUCAUCCAGUCUGGGGAUCCUGCCUCCUGCAUGCCACCCGAAGAUGUGGUUAGAGGUGCUGGGCAUGUCGUCAGCUACUCCUAAACAGCCUCCCUAAAUAGAAAGCGCAUUUCCUCCACAGACUGCAUCAUCCAUUUCCCAGGGACAGCCACCCUCCUAAAGACUGAGGCUGGGGGUCAUCCGUUCUCCAGCCCCUCACAUCUGGACCCCCUCCCGGUUCAUCCUACCACUGUGUCUCACUUCCGCAUACCCACCUGGCCUGCUCCCCUAUUGUUUCCAUUGUGCCCCCCCCACCAGGUCUGGCCACCCCCACACAUAGCUGGCUCAUACCCCUCACAUCUGCCCUCACCCACUCACAUCUGGCAGCUGCACCCCUUAAACGAUUCAUCACAUCACUGCCCUCCUUACUACAACCUUGCUCAGCUCACACUCAGAAUCUUAAAUUCUUCUUAGUCCAAAACACAGAACGCAGCUGGACUCUGCUCCCAGAAUGGACUGACUUCAGCUUCAGGGAUGACACAGAGACUCUGGGACACUUCUUAGGAAGGACACAAGGGAGGAUUUUCAGAGGCUUUGGAGUAAAGUGUGGGUUUGCUUCUUAACUUUGCCCCCACUUGGGCUGUCUGCUUUAGAGUGGGGACAGCCAACUAGGCAUGGUGGCUCACACAUGCAAUCCCAGGACUUUGGAAGGUCAAAGCAGAAGGAUCACUUGAGCCCAGAAGUUUGAGACCAGCCUGGGCCACAUAGUGAGACCCCAUCUCUACUGAAAAUAAAAAUUUUUUAAAUUA